RNAcentral lists this ribosomal RNA (712 nucleotides) under Cervus elaphus (red deer). RNAcentral describes it as "partial 12S ribosomal RNA". It matches the Rfam family "Bacterial small subunit ribosomal RNA", at positions 495 to 1509 of the family's 1533-position model. Lineage: Eukaryota; Metazoa; Chordata; Mammalia; Artiodactyla; Cervidae. The record is from RNAcentral.
GGUAAAUCUCGUGCCAGCCACCGCGGUCAUACGAUUAACCCAAGUUAAUAGGCAUACGGCGUAAAGUGUGUUAAAGCACUAUACUAAAUAAAGUUAAAUUCCAAUUAAGCUGUAAAAAGCCAUAAUUGUAACAAAAAUAUAUAACGAAAGUAACUUUACAACCGCUGAAACACGAUAGCUAGGACCCAAACUGGGAUUAGAUACCCCACUAUGCCUAGCCUUAAACACAAAUAGUUAUGCAAACAAAACUAUUCGCCAGAGUACUACCGGCAAUAGCUUAAAACUCAAAGGACUUGGCGGUGCUUUAUACCCUUCUAGAGGAGCCUGUUCUAUAAUCGAUAAACCCCGAUAAACCUCACCAUUCCUUGCUAAUACAGUCUAUAUACCGCCAUCUUCAGCGAACCCUAAAAAGGUACAAAAGUAAGCACAAUCAUAAUACAUAAAGACGUUAGGUCAAGGUGUAACCUAUGGAACGGAAAGAAAUGGGCUACAUUUUCUAAUCUAAGAAAAUCCAACACGAAAGUUAUUAUGAAAUUAAUAACCAAAGGAGGAUUUAGCAGUAAACUAAGAAUAGAGUGCUUAGUUGAACUAGGCCAUGAAGCACGCACACACCGCCCGUCACCCUCCUCAAGUAGGCACAGUACACUCAAAUUUAUUUGCACGUAUUAAUCAUAUGAGAGGAGACAAGUCGUAACAAGGUAAGCAUACUGGA